Molecule: ribosomal RNA, 468 nt
Filed under: uncultured bacterium
Lineage: Bacteria
Description: partial 16S ribosomal RNA
Rfam family: Bacterial small subunit ribosomal RNA
Source: RNAcentral
GACGAACGCUGGCGGCGUGCUUAACACAUGCAAGUCGAACGGAAAGGCCCUGCUUUUGUGGGGUGCUCGAGUGGCGAACGGGUGAGUAACACGUGAGUAACCUGCCCUUGACUUUGGGAUAACUUCAGGAAACUGGGGCUAAUACCGGAUAGGAGCUCCUGCUGCAUGGUGGGGGUUGGACAGUUUCGGCGGUUGGGGAUGGACUCGCGGCUUAUCAGCUUGUUGGUGGGGUAGUGGCUUACCAAGGCUUUGACGGGUAGCCGGCCUGAGAGGGUGACCGGCCACAUGGGGACUGAGAUACGGCCCAGACGCCUACGGGAGGCAGCAGUGGGGAAUAUUGCACAAUGGGCGGAAGCCUGAUGCAGCAACGCCGCGUGCGGGAUGACGGCCUUGGGGUUGUAAACCGCAUUCGCCUGUGACGAAGCGGGAGUGACGGUAAUGGGUAAAGAAGCACCGGCUAACUACGUG